Molecule: ribosomal RNA, 254 nt
Filed under: uncultured bacterium
Lineage: Bacteria
Description: partial 16S ribosomal RNA
Rfam family: Bacterial small subunit ribosomal RNA
Source: RNAcentral
UACGGGGGGAGCAAGCGUUGUUCGGAUUUACUGGGCGUAAAGAGCUCGUAGGUGGUUCGGUAAGUCGGAUGUGAAAUCUCCAGGCUCAACCUGGAGGGGUCAUUCGAUACUGCCGUGACUAGAGUUCGGUAGGGGAGUGUGGAAUUCCUGGUGGAGCGGUGAAAUGCGCAGAUAUCAGGAGGAACACCCGUAGCGAAGGCGGCACUCUGGGCCGAUACUGACACUGAGGAGCGAAAGCGUGGGGAGCGAACAGG